AGGGGGACGUCGCCAUCCCCUAGGGCACUGUUGCACGCCUCGGCCACCUCCUACCCUGGCUUUCUUCCUCCUGAUUUGUGUCGUGUCAUUUUCCUGUAAUUCCUGUGCAUUUCCCGUACUGCCGACAGAAGUAAACCCGUGGAUGAACGCGCUGAACAAAAAUUCUGGAGGUUGGGAAGUUAUGAUCAAGGCAUCAGUAGAUUCAGUGUCUGGUGAGGACCCACUUACUCAUUCAUAAACUGGUGAUUGGAUGAAAUUAAAGUUUGAAAUUAAAGACCAGUAGAUUCCAAAGGAGACUGAAAUAAUACCUUCGGAAGUUCAAGUGUGAUGUAACAGUAUACUAGAGAGGAAGACGUGGAAAUUCAACAAUAUCACACAAGAGAGUUGAAGAAUCAGAGGUGGUGGUUUGGCACCUCCUAUGACACACAGAUCCCAGGUCGUGUUGCCACAAAGCUUUACAUCGAAACACCUGCCUGCUUUUGCCCAGCCUUUGUGUUGUCCAGAUGGAGCAGGUGAACCUGCAGGAGCGAGGCCUUUGUUUGCUUUGCAAGUGGAAUGUUUCCUAAGGGAAUGAAUGGUGUAUCUUUCUUUUUGGUAAGAAAAUAUUUUUGGCAGAGUUUUAGAAAGGUAGUACAGCUGCUACAUUGGAUAUCAAAUACUAACCUGUAAUUCCUGUUAAAACAUUUGCCGUCAAUAAAAACAAGGCCCCCCACCAUGUAAAUCAUAAUAAAAUGUGGGAUCUAUGUGUGAAUUUACAUAAAUAGCCAAUUCGUAUAACUGUGCUCACUCAAAACGAAACCUUUAGCAUAAACAUUUAAGACUCUAUAGAUCCAGGCCGAUUUUAACAUAUACCUUUUUUUUUUUUAUUAAAUAUGUAAAAAGAUAAAUGCAAGUCAAGUUAUUCACAUAUUCAGAGACAAAAAACUAUUCUACCAUGCGACAGUAGGUGGGUAAUGUAAAAUGAAUGUGAUACAUCUGAAUAAGA
Long non-coding RNA from Aethalodelphis obliquidens (Pacific white-sided dolphin), 985 nucleotides. RefSeq lists it as uncharacterized. NCBI's taxonomy places the organism in Eukaryota, Metazoa, Chordata, Mammalia, Artiodactyla, Delphinidae. The record is from RefSeq and is a predicted model, not a curated record. The transcript has 4 exons.